RNAcentral lists this ribosomal RNA (2918 nucleotides) under Salmonella enterica subsp. enterica serovar Typhimurium str. DT104. RNAcentral's name for it is "23S ribosomal RNA". The stretch from base 1499 to 2918 matches the Rfam family "Bacterial large subunit ribosomal RNA". The record is from RNAcentral. Lineage: Bacteria; Pseudomonadati; Pseudomonadota; Gammaproteobacteria; Enterobacterales; Enterobacteriaceae.
UCUGGCGCAUCCACGUAAAUAGAGAAAUCAACGAAAUCAGAGACAAAUACAUGAUGCGGAUCGUGAGGAUAAUCCAUACCGCUUUGUAAAACAUUCAAACCUUCAAGAAUCAAUAUAUCAGGCUGAGCGACGGUUUUAUCCCCUUCAGGAAUAACAUCGUAAAUCAAAUGAGAAUAGACUGGCGCCGUCACGUUCGGUACGCCCGACUUGAGGUCAGAAACGAAUUUCACCAGUCGGUGCAUAUCAUACGAUUCGGGGAACCCCUUUUUCUUCAUUAACCCGCGUUCUUUCAACACCUGGUUUGGGUGGAGGAAGCCGUCUGUGGUAAUCAAUUCAACACGGCGGUGUUCCGGCCAGCGACUCAGCAACGCUUGCAGAACGCGUGCUGUCGUGCUUUUACCCACUGCGACGCUGCCCGCGAUACUGAUGAUGUAAGGGAUUCGCUGGCCGUUAGUGCCCAGAAACUGUUCCAGGACAGCCUGACGACGCAGAUUUGAACUGAUAUAGAAAUUUAGCAAACGGGAGAGAGGUAAAUAUAUUUCUGCAACUUCUUCCAGCGAUAAAUCUUCAUUAAUGCCUUUUAACUGCGCGAUCUCAUCCUCGGUCAGGGUCAUCGGCACAGAAUCGCGAAGCGCAGCCCACUGGCUGCGAUCAAACUGUAGGUAAGGCGUCAUUAACGAUUGCUCUUUUAUACUCAUAAGCAUGUUUCUGGCUGCUAUUGCUACAUCAGUUCAGCGAUGAACGAGGGCCAUCCCUGACAUGCAACGGCACGUCACAUUUAAGUUAAUUUGGACAAUGGGCAGGAGGGUAACACCAGAUGGGGAGGAAUAAUAAGAAAAAAUCUCGCUGUGAAAGCUAUCCCUGAGAAGCAAUGUGACGAAUAUACCAGAUACAGAAGAUUGCUUUCUAUCGACGGAGCGUUGAAAUGCCGCGUCGUAUCCUGGUCAGACGGUCGGUAAAAUGCCGAAAAUUUAUGCUCUCUUGUUUGAAAUUAGAGCAUUUUUGUCUCUUAUAGCGCAAAAUGUGAGCGAUAGAACAUUUUAUGCAAUUUUUUAGUUGCAUGAGCACGCAGGUCUCCAUAGAAUGCGCGCUACUUGAUGCCGACUUAGCUCAGUAGGUAGAGCAACUGACUUGUAAUCAGUAGGUCACCAGUUCGAUUCCGGUAGUCGGCACCAUCAAGUCCGGUGGGGUUCCCGAGCGGCCAAAGGGAGCAGACUGUAAAUCUGCCGUCAUCGACUUCGAAGGUUCGAAUCCUUCCCCCACCACCAUUUUCGGCCGCGCGAUGGCGCAGCCCGAGACGAUAAGUUCGCUUACCGGCUCGAAUAAAGAGAGUUUCUCUCGAUAUUCAGUGCAGAAUGAAAAUCAGGUAGCCGAGUUCCAGGAUGCGGGCAUCGUAUAAUGGCUAUUACCUCAGCCUUCCAAGCUGAUGAUGCGGGUUCGAUUCCCGCUGCCCGCUCCAAGAUGUGCUGAUAUAGCUCAGUUGGUAGAGCGCACCCUUGGUAAGGGUGAGGUCGGCAGUUCGAAUCUGCCUAUCAGCACCACUUCUUUUCUCCUUCCUGUUUUUCUCUUCUGUUUAUUAGCAUUCAACAAGUCGGGCGUGUUGCCUGGUUGAUGUGGUGAUAUCACCGAUUUAUCCGUGUCUUAGAGGGACAAUCGAUGUCUAAAGAAAAGUUUGAACGUACAAAACCGCACGUUAACGUCGGUACUAUCGGCCACGUUGACCAUGGUAAAACAACGCUGACCGCUGCCAUUACUACCGUACUGGCUAAAACCUACGGCGGUGCCGCUCGCGCAUUCGACCAGAUCGAUAACGCGCCGGAAGAAAAAGCGCGUGGUAUCACCAUCAACACUUCUCACGUUGAAUACGAUACCCCGACCCGCCANAAGCGAAGCUCCUGAUCGAAGCCCCGGUAAACGGCGGCCGUAACUAUAACGGUCCUAAGGUAGCGAAAUUCCUUGUCGGGUAAGUUCCGACCUGCACGAAUGGCGUAAUGAUGGCCAGGCUGUCUCCACCCGAGACUCAGUGAAAUUGAACUCGCUGUGAAGAUGCAGUGUACCCGCGGCAAGACGGAAAGACCCCGUGAACCUUUACUAUAGCUUGACACUGAACAUUGAGCCUUGAUGUGUAGGAUAGGUGGGAGGCUUUGAAGUGUGGACGCCAGUCUGCAUGGAGCCGACCUUGAAAUACCACCCUUUAAUGUUUGAUGUUCUAACGUGGACCCGUAAUCCGGGUUGCGGACAGUGUCUGGUGGGUAGUUUGACUGGGGCGGUCUCCUCCUAAAGAGUAACGGAGGAGCACGAAGGUUGGCUAAUCCUGGUCGGACAUCAGGAGGUUAGUGCAAUGGCAUAAGCCAGCUUGACUGCGAGCGUGACGGCGCGAGCAGGUGCGAAAGCAGGUCAUAGUGAUCCGGUGGUUCUGAAUGGAAGGGCCAUCGCUCAACGGAUAAAAGGUACUCCGGGGAUAACAGGCUGAUACCGCCCAAGAGUUCAUAUCGACGGCGGUGUUUGGCACCUCGAUGUCGGCUCAUCACAUCCUGGGGCUGAAGUAGGUCCCAAGGGUAUGGCUGUUCGCCAUUUAAAGUGGUACGCGAGCUGGGUUUAGAACGUCGUGAGACAGUUCGGUCCCUAUCUGCCGUGGGCGCUGGAGAACUGAGGGGGGCUGCUCCUAGUACGAGAGGACCGGAGUGGACGCAUCACUGGUGUUCGGGUUGUCAUGCCAAUGGCACUGCCCGGUAGCUAAAUGCGGAAGAGAUAAGUGCUGAAAGCAUCUAAGCACGAAACUUGCCCCGAGAUGAGUUCUCCCUGAGACUUUAGGUCUCCUGAAGGAACGUUGAAGACGACGACGUUGAUAGGCCGGGUGUGUAAGCGCAGCGAUGCGUUGAGCUAACCGGUACUAAUGAACCGUGAGGCUUAACCUU